UUCUCCUCUUCUUCCCCAGAUCCGGAAGUGACGUCAGAAGCUCACCUGCCGCUCCAGGCUCUCUGGCAUCAGUUACCGUUCGCAACAAAAAGGCUGAGAAUCGCCCCCGGAGCAAGAAGGACACGAAGGGGAAGGACACCUCCCGAGGGACUCCUGCAGAAGAAGUCCCCAGAAGUCCGCUGCGUGAAACAUGGUGGCUCCUCCGCCGCCGAGAACCGCAAGGACGAACUAGGCCGAGACGGAUAAGUGAGGCUGGGGUCCCCGUGGCAGAAUGCGCCUGUUCAAGCGACGUAGCAGCGACCCCGCCCCCCGCCUCGUGUCCCUCUCCCCUCUCACCUCCGAGUACGCCCACAUCCCCGCCCACGCUCCUGGGGAUGCCUUCGUGGAC
Molecule: long non-coding RNA, 388 nt
Organism: Penaeus monodon (black tiger shrimp)
Lineage: Eukaryota; Metazoa; Arthropoda; Malacostraca; Decapoda; Penaeidae
Exons: 4
Source: RefSeq, a predicted model, not a curated record